CCUACGGGAGGCAGCAGUGGGGAAUAUUGCACAAUGGAGGCAACUCUGACGCAGCAACGCCGCGUGAAUGAUGAAGGACUUCGGAUUGUAAAGUUCUAUGAGGGGGGAUGAAAACAAUGACAGUACCCCAAUAGCAAGCCACGGCGAACGACGUGCCAGCAGCCGCGGUAAUACGUAGGGGGCAAGCGUUAUCCGGAAUGACUGGGCGUAAAGGGUGCGUAGGUGGUUAAGUAAGUUUGCGGUGGAAUUCCGGGGCUCAACCUCUGAGCUACCGCCGAAACUAUUAGACUAGAGUACAGGAGGGGCAAGUGGAAUUCCUAGUGUAGCGGUGGAAUGCGUAGAUAUUAGGAGGAACAUCAGGGGCGAAGGCGACUUACUGGACUGUAACUGACACUGAGGCACGAAAGCGUGGGGAGCAAACAGGAUUAGAUACCCCUGUAGUC
This 443-nucleotide ribosomal RNA is filed under the name uncultured bacterium. Its description in RNAcentral is "partial 16S ribosomal RNA". It matches the Rfam family "Bacterial small subunit ribosomal RNA", at positions 338 to 795 of the family's 1533-position model. The record is from RNAcentral.